CCUACGGGCGGCAGCAGUGGGGAAUAUUGCGCAAUGGGCGAAAGCCUGACGCAGCGACGCCGCGUGAGGGAUGCAGGUCUUCGGAUCGUACACCUCUGUCAGCAGGGAAGAACGGUCACUGUGCUAAUCAGCAGUGAAUUGACGGUACCUGCAAAGGAAGCACCGGCUAACUCCGUGACAGCAGCCGCGGUACUACGGAGGGGGCGCGCGUUAAUCGGAAUUACUGGGCGUAAAGCGCUCGUAGGCGGUAUGUCAAGUCAAGGGUGAAAUCCCCGCGCACAACGUGGGAACUGCCUUUGAAACUGGCAAACUGGAGUGUGUGAGAGGAGAGUGGAAUUCCAGGUGUAGGAGUGAAAUCCGUAGAUAUCUGGAGGAACAUCAGUGGCGAAGGCGACUAUCUGGCACAUAACUGACGCUGAGGAGCGAAAGCGUGGGUAGCAAACAGGAUUAGAUACCCGAGUAGUC
RNAcentral lists this ribosomal RNA (465 nucleotides) under uncultured bacterium. Its description in RNAcentral is "partial 16S ribosomal RNA". It matches the Rfam family "Bacterial small subunit ribosomal RNA", at positions 338 to 795 of the family's 1533-position model. The record is from RNAcentral.